This 253-nucleotide ribosomal RNA is filed under the name uncultured bacterium. Its description in RNAcentral is "partial 16S ribosomal RNA". It matches the Rfam family "Bacterial small subunit ribosomal RNA", at positions 524 to 776 of the family's 1533-position model. The record is from RNAcentral.
UACGUAGGGGGCAAGCGUUGUCCGGAUUUACUGGGCGUAAAGAGCGUGUAGGCGGCCACGCAGGUCCGUUGUGAAAACUGGAGGCUCAACCUCCAGCUGUCGGCGGAAACCAUCUGGCUAGAGUCCGGAAGGGGAGAAUGGAAUUCCCGGUGUAGCGGUGAAAUGCGCAGAUAUCGGGAAGAACACCCGUGGCGAAGGCGGUUCUCUGGGACGGUACCGACGCUGAGACGCGAAAGCGUGGGGAGCGAACAGG